This 259-nucleotide ribosomal RNA is filed under the name uncultured bacterium. RNAcentral describes it as "partial 16S ribosomal RNA". It matches the Rfam family "Bacterial small subunit ribosomal RNA", at positions 793 to 1055 of the family's 1533-position model. The record is from RNAcentral.
GUCCACGCCGUAACGAUGAUUACUCGAUGUUGGCGAUACACAGUCAGCGUCUAAGCGAAAGCAAUAAGUAAUCCACCUGGGGAGUACGAUCGCAAGGUUGAAACUCAAAGGAAUUGACGGGGCCCGCACAAGCGGAGGAGCAUGUGGUUUAAUUCGAUGAUACGCGAGGAACCUUACCUGGGCUUGAACGUACUAUGACUGAUGCCGAAAAGGUGUCUUCUCUUCGGAGCAUUUUUACGAGGUGCUGCAUGGCUGUCGU